CAUGCAGUCGAACGAUGAAGCCCUAUCUGGGUGCAUUAAUGACUAACGGGUGAGUAACACGUGGGCAAUCUGCCCUUCACUCUGGGACAAGCCCUGGAAACGGGGUCUAAUACCGGAUAACACUUUCCUCUGCAUGGGGGAAGGUUGAAAGCUCCGGCGGUGAAGGAUGAGCCCGCGGCCUAUCAGCUUGUUGGUGGGGUGAUGGCCCACCAAGGCGACGACGGGUAGCCGGCCUGAGAGGGCGACCGGCCACACUGGGACUGAGACACGGCCCAGACUCCUACGGGAGGCAGCAGUGGGGAAUAUUGCACAAUGGGCGAAAGCCUGAUGCACCGACGCCGCGUGAGGGAUGACGGCCUUCGGGUUGUAAACCUCUUUCAUCAGGGAAAAAACGAAAGUGACGGUACCUGCAGAAGAAGCGCCGGCUAACUACGUGCCAGCAGCCGCGGUAAUACGUAGGGCGCAAGCGUUGUCCGGAAUUAUUGGGCGUAAAGAGCUCGUAUGCGGCUUGUCGCGUCGGAUGUGAAAGCCCGGGGCUUAACCCCGGGUCUGCAUUCGAUACGGGCAGGCUAGAGUGUGGUAGGGGAGAUCGGAAUUCCUGGUGUAGCGGUGAAAUGCGCAGAUAUCAGGAGGAACACCGGUGGCGAAGGCGGAUCUCUGGGCCAUUACUGACGCUGAGGAGCGAAAGCGUGGGGAGCGAACAGGAUUAGAUACCCUGGUAGUCCACGCCGUAUACGUUGGGAACUAGGUGUUGGCGACAUUCCACGUCGUCGGUGCCGCAG
Molecule: ribosomal RNA, 782 nt
Filed under: Streptomyces sp.
Lineage: Bacteria; Bacillati; Actinomycetota; Actinomycetes; Kitasatosporales; Streptomycetaceae
Description: bacterial SSU rRNA
Rfam family: Bacterial small subunit ribosomal RNA
Source: RNAcentral